GGAAGCCUAUGAGGGUGCCACCCUUGGAUGCCAUGCUAGUGAGGGGCAGUGGUAGGUACCACCCUUGGAUGCCAUGCUAGUGAGGGUCAGUGGUAGGUACCACCCUUGGAUGCCAUGCUAGUAUGGGACAGUGGUAGGUACCACCCUUGAAUGCCAUGCUAGUGAGGGACAGUGGUAGGUACCACCCCUGGAUGCCAUGCUAGUGUGGGACAGUGAUAGGUACCACCCUUGGAUGCCAUGCUAGUGAGGGACAGUGGAAGGUACCACCUUUGAAUGCCAUGCUAGUGAGGGACAGUGGUAGGUACCACCCUUGGAUGCCAGGCUAGUGAGGGGCAGUGGUAGGUACCACCCUUGGAUGCCAUGCUAGUGAGGGUCUG
Molecule: long non-coding RNA, 377 nt
Organism: Erpetoichthys calabaricus (reedfish)
Lineage: Eukaryota; Metazoa; Chordata; Cladistia; Polypteriformes; Polypteridae
Exons: 3
Source: RefSeq, a predicted model, not a curated record